This 253-nucleotide ribosomal RNA is filed under the name uncultured bacterium. RNAcentral describes it as "partial 16S ribosomal RNA". It matches the Rfam family "Bacterial small subunit ribosomal RNA", at positions 524 to 776 of the family's 1533-position model. The record is from RNAcentral.
UACGUAGGGGGCGAGCGUUGUCCGCAGUUACUGGGCGUAAAGCGCGUGUAGGCGGGUCUUUAAGUGAGGGGUGAAAGGUUUGGGCUUAACCCAGACACUGCCUUUCAUACUGGAGACCUUGAGUGCGGGAGAGGCGAGUGGAAUGGUCGGUGUAGCGGUGAAAUGCGUAGAUAUCGAUCGGAACACCCAUGGCGAAGGCAGCUCGCUGGCCUGUAACUGACGCUGAGACGCGAAAGCGUGGGGAGCAAACAGG